UCUCCAGGAGCUCAUCUAUAUGGACAUGUAUAGCAAAUAUGGAGGACAGACCCCCAAAAACCGUCUCCAGCAGCACAUGUAUAUGGACAUGGGUCGAUACAUGACCAUACAUGUCUCGGGUGCGUCCUCCACAUCUGGGUGACGAAGCCGGGAUCAUUGCUCACUCGCCCGCGCGAUUCCGCUCGCGUCCCGCGCGAUUCCGCCCGGCUCCCGCGCGAAUCGGAAGCUGCGAGCGACGACGAGGAGGACGCCGGCGCCUGUCCGCGACUCGCCGAAGAUGGACAAUUCAGAGAUGAACAGCUCACCGGCACCUACUUCUGGAUCUUUUUUGGACCUGUUGAAUACUGGUUCCGAUGACAUGAAUUGGGGUGACACACAGAAUUAUAGCCCAAUUGGAGAACAAGUGACAACUCCAAUUGAAAAUGUUGUUGCAUCUGGUAAACCCAAGAGUAGAAAGGGUGUCCCGAAGGGGAAAAAUUGGUCAAGUCUUGAGGACAAGGUGUUGAUAGAAUCAUGGGCAAACACAAGUUUGGAUGGGGUAGUCGGAGCCGAUCAACAUUCAGAUUCUUAUUGGGCUAGGAUUACGGAGUACUACAACCAACACAAGAAUCCAGCAUGGCAGCUUCGUAAUGUUGCAUCGGUCAAUGGUCGCUACACCACUAUUUCAUCCGCUACGAGCAAGUUCUGUGGAUGCCUUCAGCAGGCUUUAAAUAUGAACCAAAGCGGAAGAACUUUAGACGAGAAGAAAGAGGAGGCACAACGUUUGUUUAUU
Lolium rigidum is the source of this 772-nucleotide long non-coding RNA. RefSeq lists it as uncharacterized. Lineage: Eukaryota; Viridiplantae; Streptophyta; Magnoliopsida; Poales; Poaceae. The transcript is spliced from 3 exons. The record is from RefSeq and is a predicted model, not a curated record.